This 253-nucleotide ribosomal RNA is filed under the name uncultured bacterium. RNAcentral describes it as "partial 16S ribosomal RNA". It matches the Rfam family "Bacterial small subunit ribosomal RNA", at positions 524 to 776 of the family's 1533-position model. The record is from RNAcentral.
UACAGAGGGUGCGAGCGUUAAUCGGAAUUACUGGGCGUAAAGCGCGCGUAGGCGGCUUUGCAAGUCGGGUGUGAAAUCCCCAGGCUUAACCUGGGAACUGCAUUCGAGACUGCAUUGCUAGAGUAUGGGAGAGGGAAGUGGAAUUUCCGGUGUAGCGGUGAAAUGCGUAGAUAUCAGGAGGAACACCGGUGGCGAAGGCGGUGAUCUGGGCCAGUACUGACGCUGAGGAGCGAAAGCGUGGGGAGCAAACAGG